AGGAUGAACGCUGGCGGCGUGCCUAAUACAUGCAAGUCGAGCGGUAAGGCCACUUCGGUGGUACACGAGCGGCGGACGGCAGAGUAACGCGCGGGAAUCUACCCCAAACUGAGGGAUAAGCACCAGAAAUGGUGUCUAAUACCGCAUAUGCUCUUCGGAGUAAAGCUACGGCGGUUUGGGAAGAGCCUGCGUAUGAUUAGCUUGUUGGUAAGGUAAAAGCUUACCAAGGCGACGAUCAUUAGCUGGUCUGAGAGGAUGAUCAGCCUGACUGGGACUGAGAACGGCCCAGACUCCUACGGGAGGCAGCAGUAGGGAAUUUUCCACAAUGGGCGAAA
Molecule: ribosomal RNA, 335 nt
Filed under: uncultured bacterium
Lineage: Bacteria
Description: SSU rRNA
Rfam family: Bacterial small subunit ribosomal RNA
Source: RNAcentral